Prosopis cineraria is the source of this 84-nucleotide small nucleolar RNA. RefSeq annotates it as small nucleolar RNA snoR20a. NCBI's taxonomy places the organism in Eukaryota, Viridiplantae, Streptophyta, Magnoliopsida, Fabales, Fabaceae. The transcript has a single exon. The record is from RefSeq and is a predicted model, not a curated record.
GCCAAUGAUGAAGAUCUUUCUUUUGACUGAAAUGCAGAAUUUUGCAUUUAUUUGUUGAUACUCAACACUAGGACGGUCUGAGGC